UUGGAGGGCAAGUCUGGUGCCAGCAGCCGCGGUAAUUCCGGCCCCAAUAGCGUAUAUUAAAGUUGUUGCAGUUAAAAAGCUCGUAGUUGAAUUUCGGGGUUCUACCGUUGGUCGGGCUAUUGUCUGUACUGGCGUGUAGAAUUUCUACCUUCUGGGGAACUAUCAUGUUAUUAAUUUAGCGUGGUAGGAAACCAGGACCUUUACCUUGAAAAAAUUAGAGUGUUCAAAGCAGGCUUAUGUCUGAAUACAUUAGCAUGGAAUAAUAAAAUAGGACGGUGGUCCUGUUUUGUUGGUUUCUGAAUCACCGUAAUGAUUAAUAGGGAUAGUUGGGGGCAUUAGUAUUCAAUUGUCAGAGGUGAAAUUCUUGGAUUUAUUGAAGACUAACUACUGCGAAAGCAUUUGCCAAGGAUGUUUUCAUUAAUCAAGAACGAAAGUUAGGGGAUCGAAGACGAUCAGAUACCGUCGUAGUCUUAACCAUAAACUAUGCCGACUAGGGAUCGGACGAUGUUAACUUUUCUUGACUCGUUCGGCGCCUUACGGGAAA
This 544-nucleotide ribosomal RNA is filed under the name uncultured Glomeromycotina. Its description in RNAcentral is "SSU rRNA". It matches the Rfam family "Eukaryotic small subunit ribosomal RNA", at positions 548 to 1097 of the family's 1831-position model. The record is from RNAcentral. Lineage: Eukaryota; Fungi; Glomeromycota.